GACGAACGCUGGCGGCGUGGAUUAGGCAUGCAAGUCGAACGGUAGGAUACCUUCGGGUAUCUGAGAGUGGCGAACGGGUGAGUAACACGUAGGUGAUCUACCCUCAAGAUUGGGACAACCCAGGGAAACUUGGGCUAAUACCGGAUGAAAGCAGCAGUGAUGUUGUUUGAAAGGUGGCGUAAGCUGCCGUUUGGGGAUGAGCCUGCGCUCUAUUAGUUAGUUGGCGGGGUAAAGGCCCACCAAGGCGAUGAUAGAUAGGCGGCCUUAACGGGUGGUCGCCCACACUGGGAUUGAGAUACGGCCCAGACUCCUACGGGAGGCAGCAGUCGAGAAUAGUCUACAAUGGCCGAAAGGCUGAUAGUGCGACGCCGCGUGAACGAAGAAGCCCUUCGGGGUGUAAAGUUCUUUUAUAUGUGAGCAGUGCUUUCUAUGUGAACAGCAUGGGGAGAGAGAUAUUAGCAUAUGAAUAAGCAACGGCUAACUCCGUGCCAGCC
Molecule: ribosomal RNA, 494 nt
Filed under: uncultured bacterium
Lineage: Bacteria
Description: bacterial SSU rRNA
Rfam family: Bacterial small subunit ribosomal RNA
Source: RNAcentral